This is a long non-coding RNA of Oncorhynchus keta (chum salmon), 1452 nucleotides long. RefSeq lists it as uncharacterized. The transcript has 3 exons. The record is from RefSeq and is a predicted model, not a curated record. NCBI's taxonomy places the organism in Eukaryota, Metazoa, Chordata, Actinopteri, Salmoniformes, Salmonidae.
GGCUGCAUUCGCUAGCACCUCCAUGAUGGAGGCUAUUUGAGUGUGAAAAACCAUACUGUUAGCCAUCGUUAGCUAACGUUAUCCGCUAACUAGCUGGCUAGCGUUACCUCGACAAUCGAUAACAUCUGUCAACCAAGUGCUGUCAAGCGACGGGCACGAACCACACCUUGGAUUCCUGUCACAAGGUUUUCCUCCCUAACUUCCAUCGACACCCUGGAGACACCCUACUUCGGAGUUCAAAGCACGAUACUUCGGGUGACUCGAUUCUUGUUAGAUCAACAACAGGAUCUUGGAGUAACCACUGAGGAACAUCCCCCUAUCACCACAGAAGGGCCAACCUCCAAUUCCCUCAGACCACUCAUCAGCAAGCUUUCCAACUGUCCAACCAAAACCACUGCCUUGUCCACUAAUACAUUCCCAACAGUCAUCUAGAACAGUAGCAGUGGGAUGGUCAACCUCACAGCCUUUCAGCCUAACCCAAUAAGCUAAUUACCAUUUUUUACACUGAAUAUCCGAAAGCAUCUCACCUACCUCCACUAGUAAGGCACAUGCAGAUGUUGAUUUAAAUGCACCAAUACAUAUCCUGAAAGCUGUAUACUGGAUUCUGUCCAGCCUCUGAAGCCAAGUCUUCGCCGCUGUUCCAUAAACUAUACACCCGUAAUCAAUUGUCGUUCUGAUCAGAGCUCUAUAAAUAUCCAUCAACGAUUGUCUAUCAGCACCACAUUUAUAACCAAAGACCAAGCGCAUAAGAUUCACCACCUUCUUACACUUUUUUUUCAACAUUUGACAUGGUAUUUCCAUGUAUAUCGCUCAUUGAGCCAUAGACCCACAUAUUUGUACUUAGAAACCCUCCCCAUAGGCUGACCUUACAGAAACAACUGUAUAUUCUCAGCAACUUUCUUCUUAGAGAGGAACAUACAGCAAGACUUUCGCCACUGACAAUUUAAAACCCCAGUCAAUUGACCAUCUUUCAAAAUCCACUAUAGCUUGUUGAAUAGAUUGUCACAUGAGAGAUAUUCCUUGUCCCCUUUCAAAUAGCUCUAUCAUCAGCAUAUACGUAAGCCCCAAUAGCCCAACCUACAUUCAAAAACACAUUGUUAAUCAUAAUAUUGAACAAAAUAGGACAGAUCGAUCGCACUGCCUUGAGGAAUACCAUUGUCAACUCCACAGGCAUCAGAUAAAAUGGAUCCUAUUUUAACUAAAAAAAAGAGCGAUUAAAUAAGAACACCAAAACUCAGUUGUAUAUUCUCCCACCAAUACCAAGUCUAUCCAUCUUAAUCACAUUGUAUUGUAUGCCUUUUCAAUGUCAAAAAAGACAGUAGCCAUUACUCCAUGACCAGAGUUUUUUCAACUUCAUUGUUCACCUUUACUAAUGCAUCCAAAGUAGAUCUACCUUUAUGGAAUCCACUUUGCCAUUGACUCAAUAAAAAUCUAUGUUCCAGGAAAUCUGAC